UGGGGAAUUUUGGACAAUGGGCGAAAGCCUGAUCCAGCAAUGCCGCGUGUGUGAAGAAGGCCUUCGGGUUGUAAAGCACUUUUGUCCGGAAAGAAAUCCUUGGCUCUAAUACAGUCGGGGGAUGACGGUACCGGAAGAAUAAGCACCGGCUAACUACGUGCCAGCAGCCGCGGUAAUACGUAGGGUGCAAGCGUUAAUCGGAAUUACUGGGCGUAAAGCGUGCGCAGGCGGUUUGCUAAGACCGAUGUGAAAUCCCCGGGCUCAACCUGGGAACUGCAUUGGUGACUGGCAGGCUAGAGUAUGGCAGAGGGGGGUAGAAUUCCACGUGUAGCAGUGAAAUGCGUAGAGAUGUGGAGGAAUACCGAUGGCGAAGGCAGCCCCCUGGGCCAAUACUGACGCUCAUGCACGAAAGGCGUGGGGAGCAAAGCAGGAUUAGAUACCCUGGUAGUCCACGCCCUAAACGAUGUCAACUAGUUGUUGGGGGAUUCAUUUCCUUAGUAACGUAGCUAACGCGUGAAGUUGACGCCUGGGGAGUACGGUCGCAAGAUUAAAA
This 553-nucleotide ribosomal RNA is filed under the name uncultured bacterium. RNAcentral describes it as "partial 16S ribosomal RNA". It matches the Rfam family "Bacterial small subunit ribosomal RNA", at positions 355 to 899 of the family's 1533-position model. The record is from RNAcentral.